RNAcentral lists this ribosomal RNA (253 nucleotides) under uncultured bacterium. Its description in RNAcentral is "partial 16S ribosomal RNA". It matches the Rfam family "Bacterial small subunit ribosomal RNA", at positions 524 to 776 of the family's 1533-position model. The record is from RNAcentral.
UACGGAGGGUGCUAGCGUUGUUCGGAAUCACUGGGCGUAAAGGGCGUGUAGGCGGUCUAUUAAGUCUGGUGUGAAAUCCCCCCGCUCAACGGGGGAACGGCGCCGGAUACUGGUAGACUUGAGUACCGGAGAGGAAGGUGGAACUCCCGGUGUAGCGGUGAAAUGCGUAGAUAUCGGGAGGAACACCGGUGGCGAAGGCGGCCUUCUGGACGGAUACUGACGCUGAGACGCGAAAGCGUGGGGAGCAAACAGG